UAUCUUCUUAUUAGGAUAGUUGUACCUUUGUAAACCACCGCCUCCGCCUAUAUUAUUUGUCCUUUAAUUUUUGUUGCUUUUUCUGAACCACACGAUUUGUCUUUUGCUUGAUGGGCUCGAGACCAUAAAAUGUUCCAUCUUUCUCUUCCUCUUUUCUCUUCUCUUUUCAUUUAUUCUUCUCUUUUACCCCUCAUUGCUUUUCUUCCACCGGGACAAGCCAACAAUAGUCCAACUGUCGAAUGUCCACUUGUUUGAGUUCAAUUUUUUUUCCAUAUAUCAUGUCUAUCUGUUCGAUUUAUAUUACAGCAAGAGAAAUGGGACAAAGAAAAACGUAAGCCAUGAAAAAAAGAAGCAAAAAGGGAGAAAAUGGAUCUUCAUCAGAACAUGUAUAUUUUUGUUUUUACUUUUUUUUUGUGAAAUUUAAGCUGGUUCUAUGAGUCUUUUCAUUUAAUUUUUUCCCCUGAUCAGAGAAAGAAGAUGAGAAGAAGAAUAAGUAGAUGAAAAGAAAAAUAUGGCUCUUCAUCCUCAUCGGCUCUGUAAGUUUAUUUUUAUUUUAAUUUAAUCAGUUUUUGUAAGGUUUUAUUUUAGUUUAAAAUACAUUUUAAUCUGAUUUUUUGAAAUGAAAAUAAGGAGGUGAAGCAGAUGAAGGGAAAUAACGGAUCUCUGGUUUGAAUCAGUACUGUACAUUUUUUCUUUUACUUUUUUUUUGUAACUUAAGCAGUUUUUCUGAGUUUUUUUUUUCUUUGCCUCUUUUUAAAAUCUGAUUUUCUAUUAUUGAAUCUAAAGCAAGAAAUAAAGAAGAAAUCAUAACAUUUCACAGUCUUAAGUGAUUUUUUGUUAAUUUGUGUAAGUACGAUCAGUGUUUGUGGAUUGAUUAUUAGAAUAAUUGAAAAAUUGGAUUUUGAUGAACUCAUUGUAAAUGGUAAGAGCUUGAAAGUAAUUGAUCAGAGAAUGCUUAGGAUCACAUCGGAUUGUUUUUGCUUUGAGUUUUCACUUUUCUCUGGUUUAUUCAUUGUGCAAUUAUUUAUUAUACUGACAAUAAGAUUUGGUUUUGAUGAGACUGUUUGAGGAUUCUAAUAGCUUACAAGCAAAUGAUAAAGGUAGACAGCUUAAUCAUUUAUACUUUUUGGUUUGGGGUUUCAUUUCAAUUUGUGGGAAUUAAAUACUAAAGGAGCUACAUUUUGGGAUAUGAAUGUUAAUUAUCAUUGGAUUUGCUAAAAUUAGCGCUUAUGGUGUACAUUUAAAGCUUAAAGUAAUGCAAUUACCUUGGACACUCAUGAUUUAUCUAAAAUAGAAAGAGAAAAAUAUGCCACAUACUCAUUUAUCCAAAUCUGUUUACUGAAACUUAUAUGCAAAAUCCCACCUUUUUGUCAGAAAAACUACCAAAAAAUCUCAGGACAAGAAAUGUAUGAAGACUUUUGUUAGAAGGCUGGAUGGGCUUUAAGUUUAACCGCCCUUGUGGAAGUGGGAUCAUCAAUUGUAGCUGAGAUUUAAUCUUUAGUGAGUUAUUCUUUGUAGUUCACUGAACCUUCGAAUGUUCUCUCCUUAAUUAUCUCCGCUGUUCAUGUCUCCAGUCUGGUUAAAUGGUAACAUUAAUUACAAUUUAUCUCUCAUUUAGGGAGUGUGCAUGCUUGUGUGUGGAAGUUCUGAUGGGUUUUAUACAUAUUUUUUGUGUUGAAGGAUCACUGCUAUGGCUUUGGUUUGGCCAUUUGGGGAAAAAUCUGGGACUUCUAGAAGAAAUUUUUUUUUUUAUUGAUUAGAGAAAAAAAUGUAUAUCGUGCUCAUUAUGCUUUCUGUGUAAAUCUUCCCAAUAAUAGGAACGUUCUUUCCAAUAAAUUUAAAACCAAGUUUGAAUGAUGUUACAGGCCUGACCAUUGUGAGAGGAGUCCAGGGUUCUCUGACAUUAUUUUAUGCUAUGUCUUUAUAACAAAGGUAGCUAGCAUUGAAUUGGGGGUCGAGUUAAUUGAGGCCUCUCUGCAUGCUGGCCUGUCAUUUCCUAAUGAUCUACAUUUCGAUAUUGUUACUUUAUAUUAGAGAUCAAUAAUUGUAGAAAGCAAGCUUUAAGUUAUGUUCGGCCUGCAAUCUCUGUAUUGCUAUAUGUUUCCUCUAUCUACUGACAAUCUAUUGUUAAAGGAGAUGGUGGGUAUGUGUAAGUUUCCUCUAGAAGGUAUUAGGUGUGAUGUCAAAAGCCGUGAACCUACUUGAAAUUGAUCAAAACAUGAUUCAGGGAUAACAAUAAAACAUAUUUUCAAGCUCCUUUUCCAUCAUUUAUAUUGUCAUUGGUCUUCAUUCUCCAUCUUCUAUACUUUUGUGCUACUCCAUUUAUCAACUUUUUAGUUAUAUCUGUGUGUAUUGAAAAAUAGUGGACUAC
This 2371-nucleotide long non-coding RNA is filed under the name Coffea arabica (coffee). RNAcentral describes it as "long non-coding RNA (CARA_LNC000356)". Lineage: Eukaryota; Viridiplantae; Streptophyta; Magnoliopsida; Gentianales; Rubiaceae. The record is from RNAcentral.